AUUUUUAAAGGGGGACUCCAAACUGCUUGCCCCACACCGUCCCUUUUCAGCCUGAAGAAGCCAGAAAGAUUCUCUUCGCCCCCCCUUCCUUACAGCAGUAAGGAGUUCCCAAAUUAGAGGGGGGAAUAAAGCCAGAUUUUAAGUUAGGUAGUCAGUGUAGUUAGAUAAAUCGGGGUCUAAUACCGAGUGGAAUCUAAAAUGGAGGCCAUGCUGAAAAUGAUUCCAGGGAACGCAAAACAACU
RNAcentral lists this long non-coding RNA (242 nucleotides) under Marmota monax (woodchuck). Lineage: Eukaryota; Metazoa; Chordata; Mammalia; Rodentia; Sciuridae. The record is from RNAcentral.